Regulatory RNA element from Acidocella sp. MX-AZ02, 117 nucleotides. It matches the Rfam family "ALIL pseudoknot". The record is from Rfam. NCBI's taxonomy places the organism in Bacteria, Pseudomonadati, Pseudomonadota, Alphaproteobacteria, Acetobacterales, Acidocellaceae.
UGCGUAUUUUGCGCAGGCGGAGCUCGACCGCCGGUUCAAGCCAUGAUCGCGUUCAUCGAUGAUCACCGAGGUGAGUAUGGGGUCGAGCCGAUCUGCAAGGUACUGCCGAUCGCCCCU